ACAGGAGUAGCUUGCUAUUUGCUGACGACCGGCGCACGGGUGCGUAACGCGUAUAGAAUCUACCUUAUACUGGGGGAUAGCCUUUGGAAACGAAGAUUAAUACCCCAUAGUAUUAUUUUUUGGCAUCAUUAAAUAAUUAAAGUUUUGGCGGUAUAAGAUGACUAUGCGUUCUAUUAGUUAGUUGGUAAGGUAACGGCUUACCAAGACUUCGAUAGAUAGGGGUCCUGAGAGGGAGAUCCCCCACACUGGUACUGAGACACGGACCAGACUCCUACGGGAGGCAGCAGUGAGGAAUAUUGGACAAUGGAGGCAACUCUGAUCCAGCCAUGCCGCGUGUAGGAAGACUGCCCUAUGGGUUGUAAACUACUUUUAUAUGGGAAGAAUAAGGUCUACGUGUAGAUUGAUGACGGUACCAUAAGAAUAAGCACCGGCUAACUCCGUGCCAGCAGCCGCGGUAAUACGGAGGGUGCAAGCGUUAUCCGGAAUCAUUGGGUUUAAAGGGUCCGUAGGCGGGCAUAUAAGUCAGUGGUGAAAGUCUGUGGCUCAACCAUAGAAUUGCCAUUGAUACUGUAUGUCUUGAAUUAUUGUGAAGUGGUUAGAAUAUGUAGUGUAGCGGUGAAAUGCUUAGAGAUUACAUAGAAUACCGAUUGCGAAGGCAGAUCACUAACAAUAUAUUGACGCUGAUGGACGAAAGCGUAGGUAGCGAACAGGAUUAGAUACCCUGGUAGUCUACGCCGUAAACGAUGGAUACUAGUUGUUUGGUUUUCGGACUGAGUGACUAAGCGAAAGUGAUAAGUAUCCCACCUGGGGAGUACGUUCGCAAGAAUGAAACUCAAAGGAAUUGACGGGGGCCCGCACNAGCGGUGGAGCAUGUGGUUUAAUUCGAUGAUACGCGAGGAACCUUACCAGGGCUUAAAUGUAGUCUGACAGCUUUAGAGAUAGAGUUUUCUUCGGACAGAUUACAAGGUGCUGCAUGGUUGUCGUCAGCUCGUGCCGUGAGGUGUCAGGUUAAGUCCUAUAACGAGCGCAACCCCUGUGGUUAGUUGCCAGCGAGUAGUGUCGGGAACUCUAGCCAGACUGCCGGUGCAAACCGUGAGGAAGGUGGGGAUGACGUCAAAUCAUCACGGCCCUUACGUCCUGGGCCACACACGUGCUACAAUGGUAGGGACAGAGAGCAGCCACUUAGCGAUAAGGAGCGAAUCUAUAAACCCUAUCUCAGUUCGGAUUGGAGUCUGCAACUCGACUCCAUGAAGCUGGAAUCGCUAGUAAUCGGAUAUCAGCCAUGAUCCGGUGAAUACGUUCCCGGGCCUUGUACACACCGCCCGUCAAGCCAUGGAAGCUGGGGGUNCCUGAAGUCCGUC
RNAcentral lists this ribosomal RNA (1361 nucleotides) under Dokdonia genika. Its description in RNAcentral is "bacterial SSU rRNA". It matches the Rfam family "Bacterial small subunit ribosomal RNA", at positions 70 to 1432 of the family's 1533-position model. Lineage: Bacteria; Pseudomonadati; Bacteroidota; Flavobacteriia; Flavobacteriales; Flavobacteriaceae. The record is from RNAcentral.